UAUUGGACAAUGGGGGCAACCCUGAUCCAGCCAUGCCGCGUGAGUGAAGAAGGCCCUCGGGUUGUAAAGCUCUUUUGUCCGGAAAGAAAGGCAUUCGGUGAAUACCCGGAUGUGAUGACGUUACCGGAAGAAUAAGCACCGGCCAACUUCGUGCCAGCAGCCGCGGUAAUACGAAGGGUGCAAGCGUUACUCGGAAUUACUGGGCGUAAAGCGUGCGUAGGUGGUUUGUUAAGUCUGAUGUGAAAGCCUUGGGCUCAACCUGGGAAUGGCAUUGGAUACUGGCAGGCUAGAGUGCGGUAGAGGGCAGUGGAAUUCCCGGUGUAGCAGUGAAAUGCGUAGAGAUCGGGAGGAACAUCUGUGGCGAAGGCGACUGCCUGGACCAGCACUGACACUGAGGCACGAAAGCGUGGGGAGCAAACAGG
Molecule: ribosomal RNA, 422 nt
Filed under: uncultured bacterium
Lineage: Bacteria
Description: bacterial SSU rRNA
Rfam family: Bacterial small subunit ribosomal RNA
Source: RNAcentral